Unclassified non-coding RNA from Macaca mulatta (Rhesus monkey), 148 nucleotides. It matches the Rfam family "Metazoan signal recognition particle RNA". Rfam says of the family: The signal recognition particle (SRP) is a universally conserved ribonucleoprotein. The record is from Ensembl. Lineage: Eukaryota; Metazoa; Chordata; Mammalia; Primates; Cercopithecidae.
GCUGGGAGUGGUGGAGCACGCCUGUAAUCCCAGCUACUCGGGAGGCUGAGGCAGGAGAAUUGCUUGAACUCGGGAGGCGGAGGUUGCAGUGAGCCGAGAUCGUGCCACUGCACUCCAGCCUGGGUGACAGAGCAAGAGUCUGUCUCAA